Molecule: ribosomal RNA, 433 nt
Filed under: uncultured bacterium
Lineage: Bacteria
Description: partial 16S ribosomal RNA
Rfam family: Bacterial small subunit ribosomal RNA
Source: RNAcentral
AACGAACGCUGGCGGCAGGCCUAACACAUGCAAGUCGAGCGAGAUCUUCGGGUCUAGCGGCGGACGGGUGAGUAACGCGUGGGAAUAUGCCCUUCUCUGCGGAAUAGCCUCGGGAAACUGAGCGUAAUACCGCAUACGCCCUUUGGGGGAAAGAUUUAUCGGAGAAGGAUUAGCCCGCGUUGGAUUAGGUAGUUGGUGGGGUAACGGCCUACCAAGCCGACGAUCCAUAGCUGGUUUGAGAGGAUGAUCAGCCACACUGGGACUGAGACACGGCCCAGACUCCUACGGGAGGCAGCAAUGGGGAAUCUUAGACAAUGGGGGCAACCCUGAUCUAGCCAUGCCGCGUGAGUGAUGAAGGCCUUAGGGUUGUAAAGCUCUUUCAGCUGGGAAGAUAAUGACGGUACCAGCAGAAGAAGCCCCGGCUAACUCCGUG